RNAcentral lists this unclassified non-coding RNA (253 nucleotides) under uncultured Caryophanales bacterium. Its description in RNAcentral is "uncultured Bacillales bacterium contains 16S-23S intergenic spacer region". It matches the Rfam family "Bacterial small subunit ribosomal RNA", at positions 524 to 776 of the family's 1533-position model. Lineage: Bacteria; Bacillati; Bacillota; Bacilli; Caryophanales. The record is from RNAcentral.
UACGUAGGUGGCAAGCGUUGUCCGGAACUAUUGGGCGUAAAGCGCGCGCAGGCGGUUUCUUAAGUCUGAUGUGAAAGCCCACAGCUCAACUGUGGAGGGCCAUUGGAAACUGGGGAACUUGAGUACAGAAGAGGAGAGCGGAAUUCCGCGUGUAGCGGUGAAAUGCGUAGAUAUGUGGAGGAACACCAGUGGCGAAGGCGGCUCUCUGGUCUGCAACUGACGCUGAGGCGCGAAAGCGUGGGUAGCGAACAGG